RNAcentral lists this ribosomal RNA (279 nucleotides) under uncultured bacterium. RNAcentral's name for it is "partial 16S ribosomal RNA". It matches the Rfam family "Bacterial small subunit ribosomal RNA", at positions 506 to 784 of the family's 1533-position model. The record is from RNAcentral.
UGCCAGCAGCCGCGGUAAUACGGAGGGUGCGAGCGUUGUUCGGAAUUACUGGGCGUAAAGCGCGUGUAGGCGGCUUCUUAAGUCUGGUGUGAAAUCCCGGGGCUCACCCCCGGAAGUGCAUUGGAUACUGGGAAGCUAGAGUACCGGAGAGGAGGGUGGAAUUCCUGGUGUAGCGGUGAAAUGCGUAGAUAUCAGGAGGAACACCGGUGGCGAAGGCGGCCCUCUGGACGGAUACUGACGCUGAGACGCGAAAGCGUGGGGAGCAAACAGGAUUAGAUA